ACAUAGCUGCAUAUGAUGAAAACCAUGUUGGUAGGGACAUCUGAGAGUGUGAUGAGUACCAACAUCUCUGAGCUGUAUGU
Molecule: small nucleolar RNA, 80 nt
Filed under: Pelusios castaneus (West African mud turtle)
Lineage: Eukaryota; Metazoa; Chordata; Testudines; Pelomedusidae
Description: Small nucleolar RNA SNORD74 (ENSPCEG00000001718.1)
Rfam family: Small nucleolar RNA SNORD74
About the family: Z18 also identified as U74 (SNORD74) belongs to the C/D class of snoRNA which contain the C (UGAUGA) and D (CUGA) box motifs.
Source: Rfam by way of RNAcentral